AGCCAUCCUGCCAUGGACUAUGACUUGCUCCCAUUUCCCUUCACUGGCAUAUAUUUCUGUGUCAUGCCAUUACCUUCAUGUGGAGAGGUUUUGGCUGAAAGACAACUACUCCUUUCUUCUCAUCAGUUUGUUUUUCCUCCUUUAGACUUGCUAGUGUCUGGUGGGGGAGGAAUAUUCUGGAAGAAAAAUAGAGUCUCAGCAAUGCUGAUGGUGGCAGAUGUGAAGUAAAAGGUUAUGAUUUUUCAGUGGUUAUUACGACUGCUCCUAAUUUGUUGGGGUUUUUUUUUUGGUCAGAAUAAUCAAAUAUCCAUUUUGUACCUCAGCUUUUAACAGUCUACUGCAAAAAUGCAGUUGAUGUGUCUCACAGCUUUUUCUCUACAGGUUUGUUUCAGUGGUCAUUCAGGAGAGCUACUUUAAAAAAAAGCACAAAAAUUUCUCUGCAAAUGCCAAGCCUACAGCCUCAAAAAUUAAAAUCAAAAAAUGUAAAAGUCAAAUUUUAUUUCAGAGUUUUUGUAGCAUCUUAUGUAUAGUUUUUGUUAAUGUGUCAGUUCCACAUGUGUAAUAAAAUGUUAAUGUUA
Zonotrichia leucophrys gambelii is the source of this 578-nucleotide long non-coding RNA. RefSeq lists it as uncharacterized. Lineage: Eukaryota; Metazoa; Chordata; Aves; Passeriformes; Passerellidae. The record is from RefSeq and is a predicted model, not a curated record. The transcript is spliced from 2 exons.